UCGAGAAUUUUUCACAAUGGGCGAAAGCCUGAUGGAGCGACGCCGCGUGGGGGAUGAAUGGCUUCGGCCCGUAAACCCCUGUCAUUUGCGAUCAACCGUUAUUAUUUAAAAGAUGAUAACCUGAUAGUAGCGAAAGAGGAAGGGACGGCUAACUCUGUGCCAGCAGCCGCGGUAAUACAGAGGUCCCAAGCGUUGUUCGGAUUUACUGGGCGUAAAGGGUGCGUAGGUGGCGGUGUAAGUCGGAUGUGAAAUCUCCGAGCUCAACUCGGAAACUGCAUUGGAAACUACAUUGCUCGAGGGUUGGAGGGGGGACUGGAAUACUUGGUGUAGCAGUGAAAUGCGUAGAUAUCAAGUGGAACACCAGUGGCGAAGGCGAGUCCCUGGACAACUCCUGACACUGAGGCACGAAAGCUAGGGGAGCAAACAG
Molecule: ribosomal RNA, 427 nt
Filed under: uncultured bacterium
Lineage: Bacteria
Description: bacterial SSU rRNA
Rfam family: Bacterial small subunit ribosomal RNA
Source: RNAcentral